AUUGACAGUCCGGUCUGUAACGAUUGACAAGUCCUGUGGAGGAGGCAGCAGAGACUCUGCUCUCCUCAUUUGGAUUAAUUCUGAUAUAAUAACUGUUGGUUUAUUUAUCGCUGCAGCAGCACAACAUUUUCCACAGACAGUUUUCCUGCCCGUUGGCUUGUUUUAACCAGUUUUCUGCCUUCGGCUGAUUCUACCAGCAGACACUGAAAUGACUCUGAUAGUUCGAGUGAAAGUAGCAGUUCCUCCUUAAGGUCAGAGAUUGCAGCAUCUGAGGGCCUCUUCAAAAGAAGACGUAGUUGAUGAAGGCGUUCUGGAGCAGGACCAGAAAGACCACGACCAAGCAGCCUUGAGAUCUUAGGCAGCGUCUCCCUCAGGUCCCUCUCUAUCUCCCCACACAUCCACCAACCACUGGAACACAUCUCCAAAGUUCUGCCGGGCCAGCUCAGCUUCCCCUCAGAAGAAGUGCCGCCACCUGACAGAUGAAGGAGCCUUUUGAGAGGCAGCUGGCGUCGUGAUUGGACUGUACUUUGGUCUGUUCCAAUCCAGCUUCAGCUCCAGAGACGGCAGGCGGGACGAGUCAACGGAGGCCGGGUGGACGAAGACAUGCAGCUGAGUACAAUCCAGAAAACAACAGAGGAGGAGUGCAGCAGCCCAGAGCCAGAACAAACAGAGUAGCAUCACCAAAGAACUACAGACUCUUCACAACCUGCUCAAACUCUUGGUACAGGACCUCACCACACGGGUCAAGAAGGUUUCCGUCUCAUUUCUACUCUGAAGCUCACCUUCUCCUGCUCAAACUGCUGACAAAUGUUUCUGCUGCUCUAAAGUCUGGUCUCCAGAACUUCCUAAAAACUCUCAAAGUCUCUUCUGCUGCAGGUUGCUUUGUAGAACUGUUCCAGAAAACCUCACUAAACCACAUGGAGGGGCCUCAAGAUAGUCGUCCAAAUGAAACCGUACGAAAACCAAACUAGUACAACCCAAACGCUAAAGUCUCCUGCAGCCUACCAGAGAACCUCUGAGAACAGAGAAUCAGGACAGGAACUCUUACCUUCUGGACAACCAACGUUGGUUCUCAAACAAGAAUACAGAAUGUGUCUGACCAAAAACCUCUAAAGACUCACUACAGCCAAGAUAAAGACACAACUCAGCUGGAGCAAAUCCACUAAUCACUGCACACAUUAGCACCAUGUGCUACCUGUGGCUAAAGAACCACAUUUACCAAGACAACUACCCAGUACAAAGCCCUGAGACACAUUAAAGACGAUUUUACUGCUGGAAGCUGCAAGCCAACGCCUAAAGAACAUACUAAAGCAACGGAGCCAAACCCGGUUCUGUGGUGAAGAGAAACAGAGGAAAUGUUUGUCUGCAGCUAAAUAAAGCAGGAAGACACUGAGCUGCUCAGGUGUUCCUGAUAACACCAAGCAGCCACCUGGACAGCCAAUAGGAACACAGCUUGCUGGAAGUCCAGAGGGCUGGGUUAGUGAAGGAAAUUUAAUUUAAAGUUGAAGCAGAAAGUU
Long non-coding RNA from Amphiprion ocellaris (clown anemonefish), 1517 nucleotides. RefSeq lists it as uncharacterized. NCBI's taxonomy places the organism in Eukaryota, Metazoa, Chordata, Actinopteri, Pomacentridae. The record is from RefSeq and is a predicted model, not a curated record. The transcript has 4 exons.